RNAcentral lists this ribosomal RNA (482 nucleotides) under uncultured bacterium. RNAcentral's name for it is "partial 16S ribosomal RNA". It matches the Rfam family "Bacterial small subunit ribosomal RNA", at positions 28 to 507 of the family's 1533-position model. The record is from RNAcentral.
GAUGAACGCUAGCGGCAGGCCUAAUACAUGCAAGUCGAACGAGAUUAAGAGGCUUGCUUCUUAUGAAAGUGGCGCACGGGUGCGUAACGCGUAUGCAACCUACCUUAAUCAGGGGGAUAGCCCGAAGAAAUUCGGAUUAAGACCGCAUAAAAACACAGGAUAGCAUUAUCCAAUGUUCAAAUAUUUAUAGGAUUAAGAUGGGCAUGCGUGUCAUUAGCUAGUUGGCGGGGUAACGGCCCACCAAGGCGACGAUGACUAGGGGAUCUGAGAGGAUGACCCCCCACACUGGUACUGAGACCCGGACCAGACUCCUACGGGAGGCAGCAGUAAGGAAUAUUGGUCAAUGGAGGGAACUCUGAACCAGCCAUGCCGCGUGCAGGAAGACAGCCCUCUGGGUCGUAAACUGCUUUUAUUCGGGAAUAAACCUUUCUACGUGUAGGAAGCUGAAUGUACCGAAGGAAUAAGGAUCGGCUAACUCCGUG